CCCAGCUGUCAACAAUUCGAAGGGGCAGAGGCGGACAGAAUCUUCCAGGCUGCCCAGAGAAGGCUCAGGCAACUGGUACGGCUCCAACCACAAAUACUGACUCUUUUCGAGAGCUCCAGCCUGGAGAAGCCUGGCUUUCCCUCCUCUGCCCAGGGAUGGCCCACAACACCCACCACGGUCCUUUUCAGGAGCCACUAAGGCAAAGUAAAGGGGUCACUUGCACCUGCCCCGAGGUUAUCGUAUACAAUCCAGAGGUCAAGCUACAGACAUCAACUCUCAAAGCUAUCUUGCUACAGAUGGAACAGACCAAAAGUACACCCCCGAGAAACCCCUUCCCCUGGUUUCCAGGAGCGACCGAGGUUUGUUGACUAACGAUUCAUAUUUCAUUGGAGACAAAGGAAGACAGAAAUGCCAACGCUUGGCAGGCAGAUGGAUUCCUGGGAUCCCUUGCCGUCUGAGGAAAUGGAGGGAGCGUCGGCUUUGGGGCCAGAGGACCUGGGUUCGAAGCCGCCGCUGCUGCUCUGGGUGACCUUGGGUAACUGUCCCUUAAUAUCUCUGGGUCUCAGUUUUCCCAUCUGCAGAUUGAAGUGCAACCAGGCACGGUGCUAGGUGGGUCUAAAGACAAAAGCAAGUCCGGGCGCCUGCCCUCAGAGACCUUACUUUCUCCUGGAGGGAAACAAUACUUCCAGGAUAAAAAGUGAUUUUUCUGUCUUCUGUCCACCUACAUCAUUUUGUAGCCCUUACGGCCUUUCACAUUCUGUCUUGGACUGUUUUGAGCGCAGUGUACCAGACUGGAAGCUUCUGGGGGGCAGGUACUGGGUUGGGUCUUUGUGUCUUUCAUUAAAAGCAAGGUCUUGUACUAAAUACUAAAAUACUAGGUACUAAA
Molecule: long non-coding RNA, 886 nt
Organism: Trichosurus vulpecula (common brushtail)
Lineage: Eukaryota; Metazoa; Chordata; Mammalia; Diprotodontia; Phalangeridae
Exons: 3
Source: RefSeq, a predicted model, not a curated record